AUACGGAGGGUGCAAGCGUUACUCGGAAUCACUGGGCGUAAAGCGCGCGCAGGCGGCCUGAUAAGUUGGAUGUGAAAGCCUACGGCUCAACCGUAGAACUGCAUCCAAAACUGUCAGGCUAGAGUGUGGGAGAGGAAGAUGGAAUUAGUUGUGUAGGGGUAAAAUCCGUAGAGAUAACUAGGAAUACCAAAAGCGAAGGCGAUCUUCUGGAACAGUACUGACGCUGAGGCGCGAAAGCGUGGGGAGCAAACAGGAUUAGAAACCCGGGUAGUCC
This 274-nucleotide ribosomal RNA is filed under the name uncultured bacterium. RNAcentral describes it as "partial 16S ribosomal RNA". It matches the Rfam family "Bacterial small subunit ribosomal RNA", at positions 523 to 796 of the family's 1533-position model. The record is from RNAcentral.